AUACGUAGGGGGCGAGCGUUGUCCGGAAUGACUGGGCGUAAAGGGCGUGUAGGCGGUUGUCUAAGUCUGGAGUGAAAGUCCUGCUUUCAAGGUGGGAAUAGCUUUGGAUACUGGAUGACUUGAGUGCGGAAGAGGGAAGUGGAAUUCCCAGUGUAGCGGUGAAAUGCGUAGAGAUUGGGAGGAACACCAGUGGCGAAGGCGACUUACUGGGCCGUAACUGACGCUGAGGCGCGAAAGCGUGGGGAGCAAACAGGAUUAGAUACCCUGGUAGUCCACGCCGUAAACGAUGAGUGCUAAGUGUUGGAGGGUUUCCGCCCUUCAGUGCUGCAGCUAACGCAUUAAGCACUCCGCCUGGGGAGUACGGCCGCAAGGCUGAAACUCAAAGGAAUUGACGGGG
RNAcentral lists this ribosomal RNA (397 nucleotides) under uncultured bacterium. Its description in RNAcentral is "partial 16S ribosomal RNA". It matches the Rfam family "Bacterial small subunit ribosomal RNA", at positions 523 to 918 of the family's 1533-position model. The record is from RNAcentral.